GGUAAUACAGAAGAGGGGCUAGCGUUGUUCGGAAUUACUGGGCGUAAAGCGAGCGUAGGUCGCUUAGCAAGUCAGUGGUGAAAGCCCAAGGCUCAACCUUGGAACUGCCAUUGAAACUGCUAAGCUAGAAUCUCAGAGGGGAUAGCGGAAUUCCAAAUGUAGAGGUGAAAUUCGUAGAUAUUUGGAGGAACACCGGUGGCGAAGGCGGCUAUCUGGAUGAGUAUUGACACUGAGGCUCGAAAGUGCGGGGAUCAAACAGGAUUAGAUACCCUGGUAGUCCGCACUGUAAACGAUGAAUGCUAGUUGUUAGGGGGUUCCCCCUUAGUGACGAAGCUAACGCAUUAAGCAUUCCGCCUGGGGAGUACGGUCGCAAGAUUAAAACUCAAAGAAAUUGACGGGGACCCGCACAAGCGGUGGAGCAUGUGGUUUAAUUCGAGGCAACGCGAAGAACCUUACCAGGCCUUGACAUGUCCAGUUUGAUUACCAGAGAUGGUUUUUCUUCACUUCCGGGUGGCUGGAACACAGGUGCUGCAUGGCUGUCGUCAGCUUCGUGCCGUGAAAUCAC
Molecule: ribosomal RNA, 565 nt
Filed under: uncultured Alphaproteobacteria bacterium
Lineage: Bacteria; Pseudomonadati; Pseudomonadota; Alphaproteobacteria
Description: bacterial SSU rRNA
Rfam family: Bacterial small subunit ribosomal RNA
Source: RNAcentral